Molecule: ribosomal RNA, 1344 nt
Filed under: uncultured bacterium
Lineage: Bacteria
Description: 16S ribosomal RNA
Rfam family: Bacterial small subunit ribosomal RNA
Source: RNAcentral
GACGAACGCUGGUUGGCGUGCUUAACACAUGCAAGUCGAACGGAAAGGCCCUGCUUUUGUGGGGUGCUCGAGUGGCGAACGGGUGAGUAACACGUGAGUAACCUGCCCUUGACUUUGGGAUAACUUCAGGAAACUGGGGCUAAUACCGGAUAGGAGCUCCUGCUGCAUGGUGGGGGUUGGAAAGUUUCGGCGGUUGGGGAUGGACUCGCGGCUUAUCAGCUUGUUGGUGGGGUAGUGGCUUACCAAGGCUUUGACGGGUAGCCGGCCUGAGAGGGUGACCGGCCACAUUGGGACUGAGAUACGGCCCAGACUCCUACGGGAGGCAGCAGUGGGGAAUAUUGCACAAUGGGCGGAAGCCUGAUGCAGCAACGCCGCGUGCGGGAUGACGGCCUUCGGGUUGUAAACCGCUUUCGCCUGUGACGAAGCGUGAGUGACAGUAAUGGGUAAAGAAGCACCGGCUAACUACGUGCCAGCAGCCGCGGUGAUACGUAGGGUGCGAGCGUUGUCCGGAUUUAUUGGGCGUAAAGGGCUCGUAGGUGGUUGAUCGCGUCGGAAGUGUAAUCUUGGGGCUUAACCCUGAGCGUGCUUUCGAUACGGGUUGACUUGAGGAAGGUAGGGGAGAAUGGAAUUCCUGGUGGAGCGGUGGAAUGCGCAGAUAUCAGGAGGAACACCAGUGGCGAAGGCGGUUCUCUGGGCCUUUCCUGACGCUGAGGAGCGAAAGCGUGGGGAGCGAACAGGCUUAGAUACCCUGGUAGUCCACGCUGUAAACGGUGGGUACUAGGUGUGGGGUCCAUUCCACGGGUUCCGUGCCGUAGCUAACGCUUUAAGUACCCCGCCUGGGGAGUACGGCCGCAAGGCUAAAACUCAAAGGAAUUGACGGGGCCCCGCACAAGCGGCGGAGCAUGCGGAUUAAUUCGAUGCAACGCGUAGAACCUUACCUGGGUUUGACAUGGAUCGGGAGUGCUCAGAGAUGGGUGUGCCUCUUUUGGGGUCGGUUCACAGGUGGUGCAUGCCUGUCGUCAGCUCGUGUCGUGAGAUGUUGGGUUAAGUCCCGCAACGAGCGCAACCCUUGUUCACUGUUGCCAGCACGUUAUGGUGGGGACUCAGUGGAGACCGCCGGGGUCAACUCGGAGGAAGGUGGGGAUGACGUCAAGUCCUCAUGCCCCUUAUGUCCAGGGCUUCACGCAUGCUACAAUGGCUGGUACAGAGAGUGGCGAGCCUGUGAGGGUGAGCGAAUCUCGGAAAGCCGGUCUCAGUUCAGAUUGGGGUCUGCAACUCGACCUCAUGAAGUCGGAGUCGCUAGUAAUCGCAGAUCAGCAACGCUGCGGUGAAUACGUUCCCGGG